Molecule: ribosomal RNA, 486 nt
Filed under: uncultured bacterium
Lineage: Bacteria
Description: SSU rRNA
Rfam family: Bacterial small subunit ribosomal RNA
Source: RNAcentral
AGGACGAACGCUGGCGGCGUGCUUAACACAUGCAAGUCGUACGAUGAUGCCGCAACUUGUUGUGGUGGAUUAGUGGCGAACGGGUGAGUAACACGUGAGUAACCUGCCUUUCACUCUGGGAUAAGCCUUGGAAACGAGGUCUAAUACUGGAUAUGACUUCUUGCCGCAUGGUGGGGGUGGAAAGCCUUCGGGUGGUGGAUGAUGGACUCGCGGACUAUCAGCUUGUUGGUGGGGUUGUGGCCUACCAAGGCUUUGACGGUUAGCCGGCCUGAGAGGGUGAUCGGCCACAUUGGGACUGAGAUACGGCCCAGACUCCUACGGGAGGCAGCAGUGGGGAAUAUUGCACAAUGGGCGAAAGCCUGAUGCAGCGACGCCGCGUGGGGGAUGAAGGCCUUCGGGUUGUAAACUCCUUUCGCUCGUGACGAGGCCUUCGGGUGACGGUAGCGGGAGAAGAAGCACCGGCUACUACGCGCCAGCAGCCGCGGU